Molecule: ribosomal RNA, 253 nt
Filed under: uncultured bacterium
Lineage: Bacteria
Description: partial 16S ribosomal RNA
Rfam family: Bacterial small subunit ribosomal RNA
Source: RNAcentral
UACGUAGGGGGCAAGCGUUAUCCGGAUUUACUGGGUGUAAAGGGGGCGCAGACGGCGAUGCAAGCCAGGAGUGAAAGCCCGGGGCCCAACCCCGGGACUGCUCUUGGAACUGCGUGGCUGGAGUGCAGGAGGGGCAGGCGGAAUUCCUGGCGUAGCGGUGAAAUGCGUAGAUAUCAGGAGGAACACCGGUGGCGAAGGCGGCCUGCUGGACUGCAACUGACGUUGAGGCCCGAAAGCGUGGGGAGCAAACAGG